UACGGAGGGGGCUAGCGUUGUUCGGAAUUACUGGGCGUAAAGCGCACGUAGGCGGCUUUGUAAGUUAGAGGUGAAAGUCCAGGGCUUAACCCUGGAAUUGCCUUUAAGACUGCAUCGCUAGAAUCGUGGAGAGGUGAGUGGAAUUCCGAGUGUAGAGGUGAAAUUCGUAGAUAUUCGGAAGAACACCAGUGGCGAAGGCGACUCACUGGACACGUAUUGACGCUGAGGUGCGAAAGCGUGGGGAGCAAACAGG
This 253-nucleotide ribosomal RNA is filed under the name uncultured bacterium. RNAcentral's name for it is "partial 16S ribosomal RNA". It matches the Rfam family "Bacterial small subunit ribosomal RNA", at positions 524 to 776 of the family's 1533-position model. The record is from RNAcentral.